RNAcentral lists this ribosomal RNA (468 nucleotides) under uncultured bacterium. RNAcentral's name for it is "partial 16S ribosomal RNA". It matches the Rfam family "Bacterial small subunit ribosomal RNA", at positions 28 to 507 of the family's 1533-position model. The record is from RNAcentral.
GACGAACGCUGGCGGCGUGCUUAACACAUGCAAGUCGAACGGAAAGGCCCUGCUUUUGUGGGGUGCUCGAGUGGCGAACGUGUGAGUAACACGUGAGUAACCUUCCCUUGACUUUGGGAUAACUUCAGGAAACUGGUGCUAAUACCUGAUAGCAGCUCCUGCUGCAUGGUGGGGUUUGGAACGUUUCGGCGGUUGGGGAUGGACUUGCGGCUUAUCAGCUUGUUGGUGGGGUAGUGGCUUACCAAGGCUUUGAAGGGUAGCCGGCCUGAGAGGGUGAACGGGCACAUGGGGACUGAGAGACGGACCAGACUCGAACGGGAGGCAGCAGGGGGGAAUAUUGCACAAUGGGGGGAAGCCUGAUGCAGCAACGCCGGGAGCGGGAUGAAGGCCUUCGGGGUGUAAACCGCUUUAGCCUGUGACGAAGCGUGAGUGACGGUAAUGGGUAAAGAAGCACCGGCUAACUACGUG